Molecule: ribosomal RNA, 1119 nt
Filed under: Bacillus sp. SW-12
Lineage: Bacteria; Bacillati; Bacillota; Bacilli; Caryophanales; Bacillaceae
Description: bacterial SSU rRNA
Rfam family: Bacterial small subunit ribosomal RNA
Source: RNAcentral
GCAAUGGACGAAAGUCUUGCCGGAGCAACCCCGCCUUGAGUGAUGAAGGUUUUCGGAUCGUAAAGCUCUGUUGUUAGGGAAGAACAAGUGCGAGAGUAACUGCUCGCACCUUGACGGUACCUAACCAGAAAGCCCCGGCUAACUACGUGCCAGCAGCCGCGGUAAUACGUAGGUGGCAAGCGUUGUCCGGAAUUAUUGGGCGUAAAGGGCUCGCAGGCGGUUUCUUUAAGUCUGAUGUGAAAGCCCCCGGCUCAACCGGGGAGGGUCAUUGGAAACUGGGAAACUUGAGUGCAGAAGAGGAGAGUGGAAUUCCACGUGUAGCGGUGAAAUGCGUAGAGAUGUGGAGGAACACCAGUGGCGAAGGCGACUCUCUGGUCUGUAACUGACGCUGAGGAGCGAAAGCGUGGGGAGCGAACAGGAUUAGAUACCCUGGUAGUCCACGCCGUAAACGAUGAGUGCUAAGUGUUAGGGGGUUUCCGCCCCUUAGUGCUGCAGCUAACGCAUUAAGCACUCCGCCUGGGGAGUACGGUCGCAAGACUGAAACUCAAAGGAAUUGACGGGGGCCCGCACAAGCGGUGGAGCAUGUGGUUUAAUUCGAAGCAACGCGAAGAACCUUACCAGGUCUUGACAUCCUCUGACAACCCUAGAGAUAGGGCUUUCCCUUCGGGGACAGAGUGACAGGUGGUGCAUGGUUGUCGUCAGCUCGUGUCGUGAGAUGUUGGGUUAAGUCCCGCAACGAGCGCAACCCUUGAUCUUAGUUGCCAGCAUUCAGUUGGGCACUCUAAGGUGACUGCCGGUGACAAACCGGAGGAAGGUGGGGAUGACGUCAAAUCAUCAUGCCCCUUAUGACCUGGGCUACACACGUGCUACAAUGGACAGAACAAAGGGCUGCAAGACCGCAAGGUUUAGCCAAUCCCAUAAAUCUGUUCUCAGUUCGGAUCGCAGUCUGCAACUCGACUGCGUGAAGCUGGAAUCGCUAGUAAUCGCGGAUCAGCAUGCCGCGGUGAAUACGUUCCCGGGCCUUGUACACACCGCCCGUCACACCACGAGAGUUUGCAACACCCGAAGUCGGUGAGGUAACCUUUAUGGAGCCAGCCGCCGAAGGUGGGGCAGAUGAUU